GUUGUGGCUCAGUGGUAGAGCACUUGUCUGGCAUAUGUGAGGCACUGGGUUCAAUACUCAGCACA
RNAcentral lists this transfer RNA (65 nucleotides) under Marmota monax (woodchuck). RNAcentral describes it as "tRNA.Ala". It matches the Rfam family "tRNA", at positions 6 to 65 of the family's 71-position model. Rfam says of the family: Transfer RNA (tRNA) molecules are approximately 80 nucleotides in length. Their secondary structure includes four short double-helical elements and three loops (D, anti-codon, and T loops). The record is from RNAcentral. Lineage: Eukaryota; Metazoa; Chordata; Mammalia; Rodentia; Sciuridae.